Molecule: non-coding RNA, 1622 nt
Organism: Drosophila suzukii
Lineage: Eukaryota; Metazoa; Arthropoda; Insecta; Diptera; Drosophilidae
Source: RefSeq, a predicted model, not a curated record
UGGCAGAGCAGCGGCAGAGGCCAGAAUGACAGAAAAAAACCAGUUCCUGCUCUUACAGCCGCUGCAAUUACCGCUCACAGCAUACUACAUAUAGGUAGUAUAGUGUGUGGCCUGUGUGUGUGGCUGCCAGAUUAGAAUUCGCAUCGCCUCAGUUUGGUCGCCAUUUUCAGCAGGCCUGCCUCUGGUGACGUAGGAAAUGAAAUGAAAUUCCUGGCGGUCCCCGCACUCACUAAUUGGCAGGCAAAACACACAGUUUGGAUUACUAUUUUUCUGCCCACCAGACGUUUGGAAAUCCCUCGCAUGACACACAACUAAAAGCGGUUCGAGGAAAGUCAUAGACAGCUCUGAUUGAGCACACUAGAAAGCCGCUUGGAAGUCGAUUCAAACUGGACUUGGAUUUCAAACGAGCAGGAGAUUUAGGGUCGUUUUCUCGUUCACAUGCUAAAUUUAAGCCAGGUUUAAAACAUUGAAAAUGGUAAUUCAUAGAUAAAGGUGUACUUUAAGCUAAACAUGUAGACGAGAAAAUUUCUGCUAGCGGACCUUAGCAUGUUUGAUUAAAUCGCUGAAAGGAGAGUUUGCAAGCUUUUUUGUAUCGAGGUGGUGAAUGUUGGAAUACCUUAUAACAUUGUUAUCUAAACGGAUUUUUUUUGUACCCAGUUUAAGUGGCCAGAUUCUUCUCAUUCUAUUCAGUUCGGACUAACAAAUCUCAUCUGAUAUUGCCAUUUAAGGCUCAAUUAAUCUUUGAACUUGACUGUGAAUGUGGGUACAACUUUAUUACUGCCAACGCCUAUUAGACAUUGCGAAAUGGUCGAAUUUACGACUGGCCAUGUCUGAGGAGACUGUGGCCAAGAGCGAUUGCAACUACGACAUUUAAUGGGGAUUUGAUUGCUUGUGCUUCGUACCGUGCGAAAGUAGAAUUGCAAUUAAGAAUUGAAUUUCAAAUAAAGCUAGGAUCGAAGUGGAUGCAAUUUGUAGAUCGAUGCUGUAGCUGUCAGUCAAGUCGAUCUUCAUGCUUAUAAGUAGGUACAUGUGAGAGGGACUUCUCUACGGCUAACGUAUGCUGGCAGUCAUGUUUUCCCAUUACAAAGUCGGUGUGAAAAUUUGCAGUUAAAGUAUGACAGCGAGGCGCCUGUCCCCUGACUUUUAAGUCAAUCAUUACUCAAUAGAUACACCGCUUUUUAAUGCAGUGGAGCUCGUUGAAAUCUCAGAACAAAGUGGACUUCAUAAAUAGUAGACAAGUAUCGAAGUCGAUCAUUGUUUGCAAAGCCAAGGUUAAUCAGUUAAUUGAUUAAAUGCUCAAAGAAAGUCCAUGCCCAUUCAAAUGUUCAGGAAUCCGAAAAUAUUACUAUGUGUAUCCAAUUGAUCGACUAUUAAUUAGCAAGUUAUGGGUGUUCCGCACAAGAAUAAACUUUAGCAGAAAUCCAAACUGAGAUGCGGGUAAGAAUUUGGAGCUGUCAAAUGGCAUCAUUACCGCACAAUGUGGUCUUAUUUGCAUUUAUAUGAGUUUGAUUUUAUAGAAUAUAAAAUAUGACAGCUUGAUCGGUUCAAUAAUUAAUUUAUGAGCUUCAGAAUGGUUAAGUCAGUGACUUUUAAUUUUAAUGGCAGGCAUUAAUUAACGUAUA